UAAGAAAUGUGAUAUGUACAGCUUUGGAGUGGUUGAUCGGUAAACAUACGGGAGAACUUAUUUCAUUAUUAAGAUUUGCAUCCAAAAACAUUAUAAUGAAAGAUUUAUUAGACGAGACUAAUUGCAACCAUUAAUCAGCAAUCUUCUCAAAGUUUAGCUCUUAUAGAAACACUAGCCUUUGCAUGUCCUCGUUCUCAUCCAAGGUGUAGACCAACGUCCAACAAUGCACACAAUGUGUG
RNAcentral lists this long non-coding RNA (239 nucleotides) under Trifolium pratense (red clover). RNAcentral's name for it is "long non-coding RNA (TPRA_LNC000993)". Lineage: Eukaryota; Viridiplantae; Streptophyta; Magnoliopsida; Fabales; Fabaceae. The record is from RNAcentral.